RNAcentral lists this transfer RNA (87 nucleotides) under Candidatus Margulisiibacteriota bacterium. Its description in RNAcentral is "tRNA-Leu". It matches the Rfam family "tRNA". Rfam says of the family: Transfer RNA (tRNA) molecules are approximately 80 nucleotides in length. Their secondary structure includes four short double-helical elements and three loops (D, anti-codon, and T loops). Lineage: Bacteria; Bacillati; Candidatus Margulisiibacteriota. The record is from RNAcentral.
GCCGAAGUGGCGGAAUUGGUAGACGCGCCGGUCUCAAAAACCGGUGGACUCCGGUCCGUGCCGGUUCAAUUCCGGCCUUCGGCACCA